AUUGAACGCUGGCGGCAGGCCUAACACAUGCAAGUCGAACGGUAACAGGGAUCAGCUUGCUGAUUCGCUGACGAGUGGCGGACGGGUGAGUAAUGUCUGGGAAACUGCCUGAUGGAGGGGGAUAACUACUGGAAACGGUAGCUAAUACCGCAUAACGUCGCAAGACCAAAGAGGGGGACCUUCGGGCCUCUUGCCAUCGGAUGUGCCCAGAUGGGAUUAGCUAGUAGGUGGGGUAACGGCUCACCUAGGCGACGAUCCCUAGCUGGUCUGAGAGGAUGACCAGCCACACUGGAACUGAGACACGGUCCAGACUCCUACGGGAGGCAGCAGUGGGGAAUAUUGCACAAUGGGCGCAAGCCUGAUGCAGCCAUGCCGCGUGUAUGAAGAAGGCCUUCGGGUUGUAAAGUACUUUCAGCGGGGAGGAAGGGAGUAAAGUUAAUACCUUUGCUCAUUGACGUUACCCGCAGAAGAAGCACCGGCUAACUCCAUG
Molecule: ribosomal RNA, 490 nt
Filed under: uncultured bacterium
Lineage: Bacteria
Description: partial 16S ribosomal RNA
Rfam family: Bacterial small subunit ribosomal RNA
Source: RNAcentral